UGUGAGGGUUGCUGGAGGUAUCAGAAGUGCGAAUGCUGACAUAAGUAACGAUAAAGCGGGUGAAAAGCCCGCUCGCCGGAAGACCAAGGGUUCCUGUCCAACGUUAAUCGGGGCAGGGUGAGUCGACCCCUAAGGCGAGGCCGAAAGGCGUAGUCGAUGGGAAACGGGUUAAUAUUCCCGUACUUGGUGUUACUGCGAAGGGGGGACGGAGAAGGCUAUGUUGGCCGGGCGACGGUUGUCCCGGUUUAAGCGUGUAGGUGUGUGUUCCAGGUAAAUCCGGUUCACUUUAACACUGAGGCGUGACGACGAGGCACUACGGUGCUGAAGCAACAAAUGCCCUGCUUCCAGGAAAAGCCUCUAAGCAUCAGGUAACAUCAAAUCGUACCCCAAACCGACACAGGUGGUCAGGUAGAGAAUACCAAGGCGCUUGAGAGAACUCGGGUGAAGGAACUAGGCAAAAUGGUGCCGUAACUUCGGGAGAAGGCACGCUGACACGUAGGUGAAGUGAUUUACUCAUGGAGCUGAAGUCAGUCGAAGAUACCAGCUGGCUGCAACUGUUUAUUAAAAACACAGCACUGUGCAAACACGAAAGUGGACGUAUACGGUGUGACGCCUGCCCGGUGCCGGAAGGUUAAUUGAUGGGGUCAGCGCAAGCGAAGCUCCUGAUCGAAGCCCCGGUAAACGGCGGCCGUAACUAUAACGGUCCUAAGGUAGCGAAAUUCCUUGUCGGGUAAGUUCCGACCUGCACGAAUGGCGUAAUGAUGGCCAGGCUGUCUCCACCCGAGACUCAGUGAAAUUGAACUCGCUGUGAAGAUGCAGUGUACCCGCGGCAAGACGGAAAGACCCCGUGAACCUUUACUAUAGCUUGACACUGAACAUUGAGCCUUGAUGUGUAG
Molecule: ribosomal RNA, 896 nt
Filed under: Salmonella enterica
Lineage: Bacteria; Pseudomonadati; Pseudomonadota; Gammaproteobacteria; Enterobacterales; Enterobacteriaceae
Also listed under: 2 other names
Description: partial 23S ribosomal RNA
Rfam family: Bacterial large subunit ribosomal RNA
Source: RNAcentral